GAAAUUUGUGUUAUUCAGAUUUUCUUUCAAUAAAAAAAUAAAAUAAAUUAAAACUAAGAAAAUUAAAAACGAGAAGAGGAAUUAGGGUUACGCUGAUUUGUGACCAUUGAAGUCCUCGGAACUCAGGCUUCUUCUCUUUCAACGGCGCCAGAAUGAUCUCCACCUCUCCGAUCGAUUUUCGCUGCCAUUAAACGAACAACAAUCUUAUCUCAUCCUUCUCUCUCAAUCGUUCUCAGAUCAACUCUUCGGUUUUCUUCUUGUUGCAGAUGAAAUUACGAUAGCGAUGAUGGCGAUUGAAGCAGGUGUCGCAACGAAGGUCGAAUAGAGAUUAAUUCGAUGAUGCUGCAAAGUCGAAGUUCUUCGUGGAAUCUUGAUGCGUGGCUGAUUUCUUUGGUCGCGAGGAGAUGAAGCUGAUUGGAGAUCGAUGGUGAUUACGUGAUGGAAGUUGUUGCAGUUGAAGAUUGAAUGAAGCGCAGAGUUGAGGAUGAAGAUUAUUGCAGUGAAUCAAACGAUGUAAAUGGAGUAGAAGAGGAAGAUGCUAAGGCGUUCGGUACCUUCUUCAAUUGCAAGCAAAAUUAAUAGAAAACCAGAAGUCUCCGCCACUUUUGUUUUCGUCUUCUGCAUUUUCGUGUUCUAUAGGAUGUUGUCAUUCUUGUGAUGCAGUGGCGGCGAUGAAGAUGAACGUUGAAUUGUUGUUAUGCAGGUUUCAGUGAGGAUGAUGAUGAAGAUCCGAUGGAGUUACUAUGAAGAUUCAAUGAGAUUGAAGAAUGGAGAGAAUUUGGUUUUGGAGAUUGAAGAUGCAGAUGAUGAAGGAGUGAAGAUUGGGAGAAAGUGUGGAGAGAAGAAGGUUCAGAGGAUGAUGAUUGAUGAUGAAGAGGAAAAGAUGGAGGGUGGAGAGUGGAAGUGUGAAUCUGAAAAAUGAAUGGUGAAGAGUGUAAGUAUGAAUCUGAAAAUGAAUGGUGAACCCUGAAUUCAGAGAGGGAGCUCAGCUAUAUAGGGAUUCAAAGCAGGUUUGGCAUGAUGGAAAAAGGUUUUCAACAUGAGCAGUGAGGAAAACCAUAAGGAUGGAGGUCACUUCGAUUCGGACACCAGCACUAGCAUGGCAAUACUCUUGAAAGUAUGAUGAAUUUGAAGAAAAGAGGGAAUAUUUCCAGAGGUGAUUUUCUUGUGUAAAUGCAAUAGAAAAUGUAGUGCAAUAUAAUAGAAUAUAAUGUACCCUUGGAUUUUAGAUAUGUCAUGAAGUGUAACUUGUAAUGAGAUGGAAAUGACUUCUUUUAUUCUUAUAAAAUCUUAAACUUCUUUUC
This is a long non-coding RNA of Vicia villosa (hairy vetch), 1304 nucleotides long. RefSeq lists it as uncharacterized. The transcript has 2 exons. NCBI's taxonomy places the organism in Eukaryota, Viridiplantae, Streptophyta, Magnoliopsida, Fabales, Fabaceae. The record is from RefSeq and is a predicted model, not a curated record.